This 2167-nucleotide long non-coding RNA is filed under the name Arabidopsis thaliana (thale cress). RNAcentral describes it as "long non-coding RNA (ATHA_LNC000689)". The record is from RNAcentral. Lineage: Eukaryota; Viridiplantae; Streptophyta; Magnoliopsida; Brassicales; Brassicaceae.
GCAGCUCGAGCUCCUUCAUUUGCAGAGAAUAGCUUCUGAAAAUACUCGGAGAUAACAUUGAGGAUCCCUGCCUCUUCAUACUCAGGUACUCCAUCCUCCUUUUCUAUCACUGAGAACUUAUUUAUCACCGUUCUACCUCUAGUGAUGGCAUGGAAGUAACCCGAAUUUUUAUCUCCUAAGGCAAGCCAUAACUGUCUGCUUCUCUGCUUCCAAUACUCUUCCUCUGCCUUGUAUGCUAAGAGCAAAUUAGUAUUGAUAGUCGAUAACAGCUCUUGAUUGUGAUCUUGACUAGACAUUGCCUCUUCAAGUUUUUGACGAUUUUCCUCAAUAAGUUUUUGACUACUUUGCUGCUUAGCCCUAGACCACUUAACAAUUUCCAAACGACAUCUGCUAAUUUUUUCCUCCACAAUGUCUGUAUCAUAAAGAUUCCAGGCCUCUUGAACAAGGGCUGUGACUUCAUCGUUGUUUUUUAGACGCCUAUCGUAACGAAACACUCCUUUUUUCUUUUUCUUUGACAGGUCAAAGUGGGUAAGAAGUGGUCUGUGGUCUGACCCUUCAAAGCAAAGGUAAAUGCAUCUACUAGCAGGAUAAUCUUCAGCCCACGCUCCAUUGGACAAUGCACGAUCAAGCCUGCAAUGCACAACAUGAUCAUGUCUCUUUCCACGCCAAGAUAAGAAAUUCCCUGAAUGUCUUAAAUCAUACAAAUCACAUUCCGCCAUAAAUGAUCUAAUGUCCACAAAAGUUCCUUCAUAUCUUGCAGGUCCUCCUUGUUUUUCAGAAGAAUCUAUGAUAUAAUUGAAUUCUCAGUAAGAUACCAGGGUUCACUUCUAUCUUUCCCUAAACUGGUAAGCUGAUCCCAUAUAGCUUUCCGCUUUGAUCUGUCUGGUUCCCCAUAGAUGAAAGUAGCAAAGAAGUGUUUACCCGCCGCCUUAAUCUUUGUGUCAAUAAAGUUGUUGCAGGAAUAAAGGAUUGUCACUUCUACUUCAUGUUUCCAGAGAAGGGCCAGACCACCACCUCCUGGGCUAUGCGGGGGAACAAGGUGAUGUGCAGAAAAAUUCAUCCAGUUUAAAGAGGUGAGGGUUGUCUCAUUGGGGUUCUUGGUUUCCAUAAGGAACAGAAUUUCUGGUGAGAUUGAAGAAUGCAUCUCACGCAGCCGUUGUACUGUUGUGGGGCUCCCCAAUCCACAACAGUUCCAGCUCAGAACUUUUAAGGAAUCUGAUUUGGUAGAUGGUGAAAAUCCACCUUAUCUUUCACUCUUGCAGGUAUAAUAGUUACUCGUGGAGUAGGUUGACUUGAGGAAGGGUUGGAGGCUCCAGGUUGGAGGAGAAGCUUUUGCUUUGUUUUCGUGGUUCUGCUAGGGCCAGCAGAUUCUUGUAUGUGAGCUUCAUUCUUCUCAGGUGUGGAUUUCCUUUUAGGGGAGUUCUGGAUAAGUCCCUUUCUUUUGCUUGAUUUUGCUCCCAGCAAUGGUAAAGCAGCUUUGUUUUGGGGUUUAGCUAAAGGUGGACGUCCUCUUUUCUUUUUUGCAGGAGCAACACAGCUUGUAGUCUGAUCAGCCGGAUGACUUUGUAGGUCUUGGUACUGAGAGAGAUUAUCUUGUGUUGGAAGAUCUUCAGAGGCAAGGUAAUUUUGGUUUGAGAUGAGUGCAGCUUCCAGCAUUAUAGAAGCUGUUUCUGCCAUGAGUCCUUUUUCUUCUCCUUGAAAAACUCUUCGUUUUCUUGCAGCGCUUUCAGUUGGGUGUGCACAACUAACAUAUUGCAGAGUGACGUCUCUAAGCUCUCCCAUGAUUUGGUCAUUAGUAGGGAUGGGAGGAGGAGGUGGUGGAGUAACCUCAUAAGAAUCCAGGUUUCUCUCCAACGGGGGACGUCUUGUUCUCGAAGUUUCAGAGCUAUCAUUUCUAGGACUGAGUCUAUGUGUGGCUCUAACCCUCCAUUGAGGAGUCUGAGAAGAAUCUCUUCUUGGCCCCUCUCUAAUAGGAUCCUGAUAUCUUGAGGUACCCCUUUUGUCUCCUGUCUCAUGGCGACCUAAAUUCCUUCUGUUAGGGUUAAAAGGAUUUCUGUGUCUUCUCUCCUCAUAGGGUCCAGCUCGGCGAGAUAGAUGUUCUCUAGAAGUUGAGGUCUACUCCUCUUACUUUUCCAAGAUCUUGAGAACGACUUUGAUUAAUAGAAGG